CGGUUGAUCCUGCCGGAGGUUACUGCUAUCGGGGUUCGAUUAAGCCAUGCAAGUUAAAUGUUUUUCGUAAACAUAGCGAACUGCUCAGUAACACGUGGAUAACUUAACCUUAGGUCCGGCAUAACCCCGGGAAACUGGGGAUAAUUCCGGAUGUAUCAAGGAUGCUGGAAUGCCCUUUGGUUCAAAGCUUUUGUGCCUAAGGAUAGGUCUGCGGUCUAUCAGGUUGUAGUGGGUGUAACGUACCUACUAGCCGACGACGGAUACGGGUUGUGAGAGCAAGAGCCCGGAGAUGGAUUCUGAGACACGAAUCCAGGCCCUACGGGGUGCAGCAGGCGCGAACACUUUACAGUGCGGGAAACCGCGAUAAGGGAACCCCGAGUGCCAGUACUAAGUGCUGGCUGUCUAGAUGAAUAGAUAUCAUUUAAUAGCAAGGGCCGGGCAAGACCGGUGCCAGCCGCCGCGGUAACACCGGCGGCCCGAGUGGUAACCGAUAUUAUUGGGUCUAAAGGGUCCGUAGCCUGUUUAAUAAGUCCUUUGGGAAAUCUGGCAGCUUAACUGUCAGGCUGCUAAAGGAUACUGUUAAACUUGGGACCGGUAGACGUAGGGGGUACUCCAGGGGUAGGAGUGAAAUCUUGUAAUCCCUGGGGGACCAUCUGUGGCGAAGGCGCCCUACGAGAACGGGUCCGACGGUGAGGGACGAAAGCUAGGGGAGCAAACCGGAUUAGAUACCCGGGUAGUCCUAGCUGUAAACGAUGCUCGCUAGGUGUCAGGCACGGUGCGUCCGUGUCUGGUGCCGCAGGGAAGCCGUUAAGCGAGCCACCUGGGGAGUACGGUCGCAAGGCUGAAACUUAAAGGAAUUGGCGGGGGAGCACUACAACGGGUGGAGCCUGCGGUUUAAUUGGAUUCAACGCCGG
Molecule: ribosomal RNA, 914 nt
Filed under: uncultured archaeon
Lineage: Archaea
Description: bacterial SSU rRNA
Rfam family: Archaeal small subunit ribosomal RNA
Source: RNAcentral